Molecule: small nuclear RNA, 265 nt
Filed under: Castor canadensis (American beaver)
Lineage: Eukaryota; Metazoa; Chordata; Mammalia; Rodentia; Castoridae
Description: 7SK RNA (ENSCCNG00000028882.1)
Rfam family: 7SK RNA
About the family: 7SK was discovered as an abundant small nuclear RNA in the mid-70s but a possible function has only recently been suggested.
Source: RNAcentral
GGGUGUGAGGGUAAUGGGGCUGUGGUAUCCGUCAUCCCACUGGUUGUCAGGGUUGAUUCAGCUGAGCUGGCUGGCUAGACACAUGCCCCCUUCCUCCAUCACUGCUUCAUGUGUGCCUCUCCUGAAGUUGUGCCCUCUGUCUUUAUCUCCUGAUAAAGGAGGACCAUGAACUAGGAGGGUAUACGAGUAGCUGUGCUCCCCUGCUAGAAGCUCCAAACAAGCUCUCAAAACCAAAAAAAAGAUGGGAGUGAGCCAGAGAGAAGGA